GAGGCUGCACAGCUCUGUGAGAUGCCUCAGAGCCCCGGCAGCACAUCCCGCCCAGUGCUCCGCAAAACUAUUCUGACCCACAGAACAAAAUUCCAGGAGCCGGGCUGGGGGCGGGCUGACCUCUAACCUCAGAGUCUGCCUGGCCACCCACCCCCAGGGAAGGAACGUGGCCAAGCCUCGAGGGCUGACCGGCUGCAGAAGAGCCUGUCUCAGCUGCUGGCCACCGGGCCCUGCCCAGCACCCCAGAAUGGAGUCUGAGAGAGUUUACAGGCUAGCUUCAAGUGCACCAAGUAGCCCAGGAUGACGCCAGACUCCUGAUCCCAACCAUGUUUCGCAACCAUGCCUGUUUUCUGCAGUGCUGAAGAUGAACCCAUCAGGGCUUUCAUGCUGCUAAGCCAACGUUCUACCCACUGCUCUACCCCCCAUUUCUCUUUUUGUGAUUAAAUUAAAUAUGUAUCU
RNAcentral lists this long non-coding RNA (459 nucleotides) under Rattus norvegicus (Norway rat). RNAcentral's name for it is "long non-coding RNA NONRATT026526". The record is from RNAcentral. Lineage: Eukaryota; Metazoa; Chordata; Mammalia; Rodentia; Muridae.